Molecule: ribosomal RNA, 355 nt
Filed under: uncultured eukaryote
Lineage: Eukaryota
Description: SSU rRNA
Rfam family: Eukaryotic small subunit ribosomal RNA
Source: RNAcentral
AUAGCGUAUAUUAAAGUUGCUGCAGUUAAAAAGCUCGUAGUUGGAUUUCUGGCUUGAAACAUUUUGCCGGCCACGGUUUCGUGUGUUAGUGCUUGAUGUUCUGGCCAUCCUUCCAAUCGCUAUUCAUCUUUCUUCAUUGAGGGGUGAGUGGUAUUGGAUCUUUUACUUUGAAAAAAUUAGAGUGUUUCAAGCAGGCUUUAUGCUAUGAAUACAUUAGCAUGGAAUAAUAAUUUAGGACUUCGGUUCUAUUUUGUUGGUUUCUAGGACUGAAGUAAUGAUUGAUAGGGAUAGUUGGGGGUGCUAGUAUUCAGCGGCCAGAGGUGAAAUUCUCGGAUUCGCUGAAGACUAACUUAUG